UAAUAAAAAAUUACCCAUUUCUACUGUUAAAAAUUAGCGUAGCUAACGAAUAACUAAACAUUUGCAUGUGGCGUGCCAUGUGUACCUCAUGUUGAUGUACUAGGACCAGUUCUUAAUAGUAGAAAUUAAUGCAAUUUUUAAUA
This is a non-coding RNA of Gossypium hirsutum (cotton), 143 nucleotides long. NCBI's taxonomy places the organism in Eukaryota, Viridiplantae, Streptophyta, Magnoliopsida, Malvales, Malvaceae. The record is from Rfam.